UACCCCUCGCCGCCGCCGCGUGCGACCUUUUCCGCGCCUCGCCGACGUCGCUGCGCCCUGCGUGCCCGUCGUCGCCGAAGUCCUGCGCGCACGUCUUCGCAUCGUUCCGUCGCCGCCGCGCCUGGCCCCUUUGCCUUCCGCCUUCGUUCCCGAACCGCGCGCCUCGCUGAACAUCGCCGUGCGUCGCUGCCCACGUCGACGUCGUUCUUCUAACUAGAUAUGCUACCGAACUAUCGUGAGCUACUCUACGUUGUCGCAUCCGUGGGCGUACGUGGUUGCCUAGUUCGCGCGCCGGUUCACGAGAAAGCAACGGUGGUGGCGGCGACAGGCUCCCCUCUGCAGCGGCGGCGGCUCCCCUCUGCGGCGGUGGGACCCCUCUGCGGUGGCGGAGGGAACCGCGGCAUAAGGGAGCUGCGCAAGAAGGCCUUACGGCGCCUCUUCUUCUGGCGGCCCCGCGUCGUCCUCCUCGGGAGCGGCGGCCGGCGGCGCCUGAGGGAGGAGCGGUUAGACAAGCGCCCGCAGAGCCGGCAGUUCCGCCGGAUGCGCGUCGACUUCGAGCGCGUCAAGGGGAUACUACGCCUCCGGUAAGUCAGGCGCCUGCGACGGCACCAGCGCCUCGAGUGGUUCAACAGGCUCUGGUUCGCCUCCAAGGAGUUCCUAGGGCGUCCGCGCCGGUCCCUGCGGCGCCGGCGCCCGUUGUGGCGGGAGAGGCGCGUACGACUCCUCGUCGCCGUAGACGAGUUCUGCAUGGUCUAGUGCCGCGCGUUCGACCUCCGCCUCGAAGCACGCUUCCUACGCCUCGAGCUGGCGCGGUUUCCUAGGGAGCUACGCCUAUUGUAUUCGAGAAGAAAAAAGAAAAUACUUCCUCGCCUCAAUGAGUACGCCUCGACAAGUCCCAAGUUCCUCUAUGUGGGCUAACUUGUUCUUCUUCGAGAGGCGCUCCCGUUCUAGUCCUCGUACUACCUCUGUAAAAUGACCUUCCGACAACCGAAGGGGUCAAUAUUUAGGGUCAUACGUUAGAACGUGUGAUUAAGAAACACGAAGUUUACCAGGUGACGAGUGGAGGAGGAAAAUAACCCAGGAAGCAACUACUGAAACCUAGUAGUAAAUAAGGCUUUACUCGACUUAUACCAGCGGAGGGAGGCAAGGUACUCCUUCAAUCAAGUUACGCAAUUAGGGACAAGGAAUGUACACACCAAACGAAACAAGAUAAGAAUGUAACUACCUCUGUUAUCUCCAAACGCGCGCUCGAUACCAUGAUGCGUCACAUUCAUGCUGAACAAAACAUCUGUAUUUGGAAGACGUUGAAUGAUGAGCUCCUGUUUCUAACUGGGUCAUAGUACGGUUGGUAAUCUACUAGUUCUUCAAGUUCGAUACGCACCACCACCAACCUCCCGUUGAUCUCGUCGCCGAACACUGCUCCGUACCGAUCGCCGCCGAUCUCCGCCUCGACCAGCACGCCAAAUACCGGCUGUACCCCGAACAGCCUCGGCUCCGGCUGGUGCCGCACUGUUCCGCCGACCCUAUCCGCUCUGCUCCCUCUCCCUCGACCACCACCGUACCGAACGGAGUGGCCACCGACGCACACAAACCUUACGAGGCGCCUGGCUGUCCCCCGGAGUAACCUACUGUUUUCAGCUGUUUAUACCAGUUCCCGCUCCGUCCCUCCGGUUCCCGCUUCACAACAGUGGUGUAGGUGAAGGAUCCCGGCGUUCGCCGUUACCACUCCUCCACUCACUGUUGCCCUCCGAUUCCCAGAUACGGUCACUACACUACGAAUGUACAAGAUACUACAAAAAGGUUGUGUGGCAGGUACCAACGAACUGUCCUUUGUCUCUUCACCGGCCUACCCGUUAGUUGAAAAAAAAUCUUCUACCUACCCGUUAGUUGAGUAGACAACUAACCUAACCCCCCACCGUACUUGUUUCGUUCAAGAUAAAAGGGGGAGUAGGUGGAGGUAGCGAGGCCGAAGAAGAGGAAGCGAGGUACCGGUUGGGGUGGAAGAGGAGGCCGAAGAAGAGGAGGCGCAGGUAGUGCCCUUAUAUAUGAUAGAGAUGAAGGAUU
Molecule: ribosomal RNA, 2064 nt
Filed under: Triticum aestivum (bread wheat)
Lineage: Eukaryota; Viridiplantae; Streptophyta; Magnoliopsida; Poales; Poaceae
Description: partial small subunit ribosomal RNA
Source: RNAcentral